This 75-nucleotide microRNA precursor is filed under the name Myotis davidii. RNAcentral describes it as "mir-9229 microRNA precursor family". It matches the Rfam family "mir-9229 microRNA precursor family". The record is from Rfam by way of RNAcentral. Lineage: Eukaryota; Metazoa; Chordata; Mammalia; Chiroptera; Vespertilionidae.
GAAACACCCCUAUGAAGCAGAACUUGCUUCAGUGGGGCUUUAGUACUCACUGAGUCUGCCUCUUAGUGUGUUGCU